This 3084-nucleotide ribosomal RNA is filed under the name Triticum aestivum (bread wheat). RNAcentral's name for it is "partial small subunit ribosomal RNA". The record is from RNAcentral. Lineage: Eukaryota; Viridiplantae; Streptophyta; Magnoliopsida; Poales; Poaceae.
AUGGUGGGGCUGGUGGUAGGCGCGUCGGUGGCCACCAUGAAUUCCCUGCUGAGCAAGCUGGGCAGCCUGCUGGCGCAUGAGUACGCGCUCAUCAGCGGCGUCCGCGAAGACAUCCAGUACAUCAACGACGAGAUGGCCAGCAUGCAGGCCUUCCUCGGCGACCUCAGCAACACCAGCGCCGCCGUCGCCCGGGGCCAUGACCGCCGGAUGAAGGACUGGAUGAAGCAGAUCCGCGACGUCACGUACGACGUCGAGGACUGCGUCGACGACUUCGCGCACCGCCUCGCCCACGACCCCGGCGGCGGCGGCGGCGGCGGCGGCGGCGGCGACGUCUGCUGCGUCUUCCUCUCCACCACCGCCUACCAGGUCUGGACCUGGCGGCCCCGUCGCAGCAUCGCUUUGGCUAUCGUGAAGCUCAAGGUCCGCACGCAGCAGAUCGGGGAGCGGCGGGUCAGGUACGGCGUAGAGAACCCCACGAGCGGGGACGGCGAACCUCCCGCCGGGUUCAAGCCCGGCGACUACCAGGACCCACCCCUUGAGCUCAUUGGCACCAAGAAGCCCAUUGGAAUGGAAGAAGAGAUGAAGGAUCUCGGUAAGUGGCUGCAGCUACCUCCAUCCUCCCAUGAUGCCUCCUCCUCCUCCUCCUCAGAUCCUGCAUCCCAAUCCCAUCAGAAGCGUGCUGUGCUGUCCAUUGUCGGAUUUGGAGGGGUAGGCAAGACGACCAUCGCCACGGCGCUGUACCAGGAAUACGGCGUUCAAUUUGAGCGCCGGGCCACGGUCACGGUGUCGCAGAGUUCUGACAUUGAUGCGAUACUGCGGAUCAUACUCAGUCAAGUCAUGCCGCAGUCCAAAGAUGAUAUCGAGCAGCAAGGCGGCGGCAGCAGCAGCAGCAGUGGCGGCCCCUCACAGAAGAAGCGCCUCAUGGUUGCCAUUGGAGCAGUAUCGGCCCGUAUCAUGCGCAAGGACCGCAAGGACAGCGAGAAGCAAGGUGGCAGCACGUCCCAGACAACCAAAGAUCUCAGGCAGCAAUUGGAGACGCACUUGGAGGAACACAGUUUCUUGCUCUUAGUUGAUGAUGUGUGGUCUACAACAAUGUGGGAGAAGAUAAAUUGCUCACUUCCUAGAAGGGAGAAAGGCAGUAGUAGAGUAAUAGUUACCACACGGUUUCCAGCUGUUGCCAGUGCAUGCACAAGAGAUAAAGGAGAUCAUAUUCAUCAAGUAGUGGAACUUAGAGGGGACAAGCCUAAAAAACUAUUCAUGAAGGAAUUUGUAGUUAUCAAGGACAAGCAUAAAGAAUCACUCAUGACCGGAUCUGAAAUUAGCAAGGACAAGCCUAAAGAAAGCCAGGAGAAAAUUCCAUCCAGACUCUGGCAAAUGUGCGGGGGUCUGCCAUUGGCCAUAGUUACCAUGGCUGGGCACGUUGCCUGCAAUCCAGAAAAAGAGCUGAAUGAAUGGGAUGAGGUUUGUAGUAAACUGGUGCCACCCUCCGGGAAAGCUCUUGGCCAGGAUGGAGUUACUAGGAUACUCAGUCACUGCUACAAUGAUAUGCCUGAUGAGAUCAAGACUUGCUCCUUGUAUCUAUGCAUAUUUCCAAAGGGCCGCAAGGUCAGCAGGAAGCGGCUGACGAGGCGAUGGCUGGCAGAAAGAUUUGUCAGUGAGAAGGAUGGGCUGAGUGCUGAAGAUGUUGCAGAGGCAUAUUUCAAUCAUCUUGUGAGGAGGAAGAUCAUACGGGUUGCGGAGCACAGCAGCAACGGCAAGGCAAAGAGCUACCAAGUGCACGACAUGGUUCUCGAGUACAUCGUAUCCAAGGCAAGUGAGGAAAACUUCGUCACCGUGGUCGGUGGCCACUGGCUCAUGGCGCCACCUAGCAGCAAAGUCCGCCGUCUGUCCCUCCAAGGCAGUGACUCAAAACACAAGAAAACAACUGAGAGCAUGAACUUAUCUCAUGUCCGAUCUCUGACCAUAUUUGGGAGCUUGACCCAACUGCCUUCUAAUUCACUGAAGUUUGGAAUUGUGCAAGUACUAGACCUCGAAGGUUGCAAGGAUUUCAGACCGCAUCAUGCCCAGGAGAUAUGCAAGCUGCUUCUACUCAAGUACCUAAGCCUUCGAAGGACAGACGUCGACAAGAUUCCCAAAGAUAUUGGAAAGCUCCAGUAUCUAGAGACUCUUGACAUAAGAGAGACCAAUGUCACAGAGCUUCCAAACAGUGUAUGGCAGCUUGAACGAGUGGUGAACAUACUUGGUGGAAACAAAAGAACACGGAAGGCACUAAAGCUUCCAGGGGAUCUGAAGAAGGAAACGAUGAAAAACAUGCGCAUACUGUCAGGUAUUGAGAUUGUGGAGGGACCAGCUGGUGCAGUGGCAGACUUUCAUCAUCUGACAGAUCUGAGGAAACUCGCCAUUUACAAGCUCAACAUCAAGAAGGGUGGUAAGCUUUUUGAAGAACUGAGGUCCUUGAUAGAGUACGUUGGUGGCUAUUCUCUCCACACCCUGGUGAUUGAUGACGAGUCGUCUGAGUUUCUGAAAUCACUUGGUGCUCUCUCUUCCCCCCCAAAGUUUCUCAAUGCUCUCGAGCUGUCCGGCAAGCUGGUUGAGCUCCCACAAUGGAUCACAGAGCUGGAAGCUCUCACGAAGCUGACCCUCUCGGUGACGGUGCUCACUGUUGAUGCUUUGCACCAGCUGAGCAAGCUCAAGAAGUUGUUCUCACUCACAUUUUCACUUAAUGCCACAACGCUGGACCUAGAAAGAAGCACCACCAUUGAGGAGAACAAAGAGCAAUCUGAUGAGGAGAUCAUAGUUCUGGAAGGUGGAUUCGAGAAUCUCCAGCUUCUUCGCUUCUUGACUCCUUCUGUUCCGCUGAUAAGUUUUCCAGAUUCAUUGCCGAAGCUUCAAAGGCUUGAGCUGCGGUUCAGCACGUUUGAGGGAUUGUAUGGCUUAGAAAACCUUAAAAGCCUCAAAGAGGUGCACCUCAGGGUGCAUGACAAAGCAGGCGAGUUUACCAAGGCGUUAGUAGAAGAUAUGAAAACUGCGGCCAGGGAAGAUGACAAGCAUCCCAGAAUAAUUGUUGAUGAGUAUCAUGAGUGA